GACGAACGCUGGCGGCGUGCUCAACACAUGCAAGUCGAACGAAGAGCGAUGGAAGCUUGCUUCUAUCAAUCUUAGUGGCGAACGGGUGUGUAACGCGUAAUCAACCUGCCCUUCAGUGGGGUACAACAGUUGGAAACGACUGCUAAUACCGCAUACGAUCUAAUCUCGGCAUCGAGGAUAGAUGAAAGGUGUCCUCUACAUUUAAGCUAUCACUUAAGGAGGGUAUUGCGUCUGAUUCGCUAGUUGGAGGGGUAACGGCCCACCAAGGCGAAGAUUAGUAGCCGGUAGGAGAGGAUGAACUGCCAAAUUGGGACUGAGAACAGGCCCAGGCUCCUACGGGAGGCAGCAGUGGGGAAUCUUCCGCAAUGGAAGAAAGUCUGACGGAGCAAAGCCGCGUGAGUGAUGAAGGCCUUCGGGUUGUAAAGCUCUGUUAAUCGGGAGGAAAGGCAUUCUUGCGAAUAGUGAGAAGGAUUGACGGUACCGGAAUAGAAAGCCACGGCUAACUACGUG
This 510-nucleotide ribosomal RNA is filed under the name uncultured bacterium. Its description in RNAcentral is "partial 16S ribosomal RNA". It matches the Rfam family "Bacterial small subunit ribosomal RNA", at positions 28 to 507 of the family's 1533-position model. The record is from RNAcentral.